Molecule: unclassified non-coding RNA, 25 nt
Filed under: Mus musculus (house mouse)
Lineage: Eukaryota; Metazoa; Chordata; Mammalia; Rodentia; Muridae
Description: oocyte_clustered_small_RNA13118
Source: RNAcentral
AUCCUUGUGAAGGCUAGCACCAGGG